RNA transcript from Trachemys scripta elegans, 8976 nucleotides. It is a transcript of the gene named zinc finger CCCH-type containing 3, with no coding region annotated. NCBI's taxonomy places the organism in Eukaryota, Metazoa, Chordata, Testudines, Emydidae. The transcript is spliced from 13 exons. The record is from RefSeq and is a predicted model, not a curated record.
GGUGAACGGGAGUCGCGGGCUGGUGACGUUUCCAGAGGGCGGCUGUCUGGUGCCGGGGCGCAGGGCGAUGACGUAGCCGGGGGCGGCUCAGCGGCGGGGAUGGAGGAGAAGGAGCAACUGCGGCGUCAGAUCCGCCUGCUGCAGGGUCUCAUAAAUGACCAUAAAAACAUCCAUGGAAAUGCACCAGUGCCCCCGCCCUCCAGGACUCCAAGGUGGAGGAAUCCCAGGCAGACUGCCUUCAAUAGUCAGGGAGCAUUCUCCGCAAGAUAUUCUCAGCAAGCUCCAAGGGAUUUCCAAUCACCUCAAGGUAACUCCUGGAGGAAAAAAUACUCCCUUGUAAACAGACCGCCUGCAGCAACACAUCAUCCUGGAAGCAGUGCAUCUGCUAACGCACUUCAGGCUUUUGUGAGCCAAAGGAAUAGCCAGCCUCCUGGGCCACAGGGAACAGGCCCGGAAAGGCAAGUGGGCUUAGCAACAGGUGGUAUAGUCAUAGGAGUCAAAGUGCCACAGAGGACUAGCUCAGCCUUGGACAAUAGAAACGUUAGUGAGUUGGGAUCCCAGCAGAGUUCCUCUGGGAUGAAAGCAGCCAUAGCUGCUCCAAAAGGAAAUGAAAAGGUUCAUGAAAGUUCUAGUUUUCAAAGUGUUGCUCAAAAAGAGGACAAAGAAACUUCUCUCUCUGUCUCCCAGAGUUCAUUGCACCAGCCUGCUGUUGCUGGAGGCAGAGAUGACGCAAGCCCAGCAUAUGUGAAGGAACUGGGCAAACUUCGGACUGCGAAACUGGCUAAAAGUGCCCCUGAGUUACGUGACGUUAUCAGUGAAAGUGCCAUAGCAUUAAAAUCCAAGCCUCAACAGCCUUCAGCUCUUCCUGAUCGAGAAUCAGGCUGGCUGGUAGCCUGGAAGAAGCCAGUAGCACACGUUCCAGCUCACUGUAGUUCAGAGCAAGUCACGGCAGGAAGAGAUACUUUGAAGGAGCCAAAGACCCUUGGAAAAUCUGAGGCACACACAAGCUCACUUCAGUCUGUGACUUCAGAGGUUGGGAUAAACCCAGUGAAGAACCAGUUUGCAAUACCACACAAGCUACCCAGUUUCCAAAGAGCUGCCUCAACGCCAGUCUCCAGUAAAGCUUCUAAGUUCAGGAAAACCAACUAUACGUGGGUAGCAAAUCCUAGUAAAUGCCCUCGUGCUGUAAAGAGAUGGACCAGCCCUAGAGCUUCUGAAAGCACUAGGAAGCUUUCUGUGGGAGCAGAGAGAACUGUUAAGCCACUGCCAAAGGGGGACUUGGGAGCAAAGCAGAAGAAAUCCGGAGUGCAUUUGAAGCUGGAUGCCUCUCCUAGUAAAUACAAAUGGAAAGCAUCCAGCCUACAGCCACCUUCUUCAGCUUCCAAGUCAGUGUUCAGGUGGCAGUCUGAGGGACGAAAGGAGGCUGGAGUCUCCCAGGUUUCCAGAGCCAACCUUGGCCUUCAGACUCUAAGCAACGCAUCCAACGGUCAUGGUGGGUUGAAGUCCUCUUUCAAUGAUGCUGCACUUUCCACUUAUAAAGUGAAGAGCCGGACCAAAAUCAUCAGGAGAAAGGGGAGUUGCUGUUCCCCAACGGAUAAGAAGAGCAGCUCCUUCCCCACAAUGCCCCCGAAAAGCCACUACUCUCUCAGGAAAAGAAACUCCCUGCGGGGAAGACCUGCACCACUGAAGAGAACCCUGCCCAAGGAGCUGGUGCAGAUCACCAAGCACCGGCUAUGCCGACUGCCAGCCUCGAGAAUGCACAUCCCAGCCAAAGAAGGGUCCAGCUGGCAUCUUGUAAGGAGCCCUGUGGCUAAUAAAGUAGUACAGACUCGCUAUAGGAUAGUGAAGAAGAAUGUGGCUUCACCUUCAAGUUCGUCGUCAUCCUUCAGCAUUCCUGUUCCCAGCUGGAAGACAAGGCGACUUGUGACAUCCAGAUCUCUGGUAUUAAACCCAAUGCGCCAGUCACCCCUAGGCGGCAAAUCCCAGCAGCUGCAGCCGAGAUGGAGGAACAAAGGCUUUUGCUGUAUAGGAGGCGUGAUGUACAGGGUGUCAGCCAAUAAGCUCUCCAAAACCUCCAGCUCCCCAGUCAGGGGUGGCGACCUGAAUCACAAGCUCCACGGUAGAACAGCACGGUUGGAUUGUACAGCCAGCAGCCUCGGUUAUUCUCCUCCCAGCUGUCUGCACAGAUCAGCUACGAGCCGAUACAUUGCAAGCCGAGCUGUUCAGCGGAGUUUAGCCAUCAUUCGUCAGGCCAAGCAGAAGAAAGUGAAGAAGGAGUAUUGUAUGUACUACAACCGCUUUGGCAAAUGUAACCGUGGGGAGAGCUGUCCCUACAUCCAUGAUCCGGAAAAAGUAGCUGUCUGCACCAGAUUUCUCCGUGGCACAUGCAAGAAGACUGAUGGGACAUGUUCAUUUUCACACAAAGUUUCUAAAGAUAAGAUGCCAGUGUGCUUAUACUUCCUGAAAGGAAUCUGCAACAACAGCGACUGCCCCUACAGCCACGUCUACGUGUCCAGGAAAGCUGAAGUGUGCCAGGAUUUCCUCAAAGGCUACUGCCCCCUGGGCGAAAAGUGCAAGAAGAAACACACACUGGUGUGCCCAGACUUUUCCAAAUCCGGCAUCUGUCCAAAGGGCGCCCAGUGCAAACUCCAGCAUCCCCAGAGAAAGCAUCACCUCAGACAGCCCAGUACUGCAGGUGACUCCAACCAGGGCAGGUCAUCACCGAAGUGGAAGAGGCUGGGAGAGGAGGCAGUGAGGAGGGAUGCCGCCCACCUCCAGGAUGAUGGGGAGAUUCCUGGACCCUCCAGCGCAGAGCAGGGGGUAAAGUUUUGGAGUGACACAGACACCCCAGCAUGCAGCAGACUUCAGAAGCUCCCGUCUUUCAUCUCUCUCCAGUCACCUACCUCUCCAAGCGAGGUGGCAUGCACAGCUGACAGAGACAAGACAGGGGAGGAUACAGAGCCUGAGACCCUGAGUUACGGACCAGGACCGUGCAGGCACUGAACAAACCCAGAACACAGGUGGUCUGUGCCCUCAAGAGCCCGUCUCUGAUGAGGAGACACUGGAUAAAUGCGUCCGAUUGUGAGGGAAGCCGCUGCAGAUCAAGCCCAGGCUGUGAGGUCAGCUCCCUGGAUUCAGCAUCUCUCCCGCCCGCCUCAUGCACUGGUCCAUUCAACAGUCCAGCAGCCGAACGCCUCAGGAAACACAGCGGCCAGGCCGGGCCCGGCACCUACCUCAGGACAGCAAGACGGGAAGAGGCCUCCUCCUGAUUUGUGUUCCGUUUCGAUACGUUCAUUUGGCCUGGAAUCUGGUAACAGUAAAUUACUCAGGUUCUCCCAGCCCCGUCGUGCAGAGAGGCAGCUUUGUAAGCGUUUUAAUUUUGGAAUAAAUGAUCUUUUAAUCUGGUUUAUUUAAAACAAACCCCUUCCGAAGCCCCUGUUUAACUUCAGCUUCCCCGGUCGUUCUUGAGUUAGCAAGAAUGAACUGUUGUGAUCAGAUUAGGCUAAACGGGGCCCAUUGAUCAGACCUGCAGCCCUUUGCACCCGGGUUCUUGGUGCCAUCUUUGGAGUUUUGCAGUUGCAGUAAUUCUCCUCACAGAGAUUUGAGGAAGGGACAGGAGUUAAAGAAACCUAACUCUGUUUCUCUUCAGUGCCGGGAAGCCGCAUUGCCCAGUUGGGUAUAUUUCAACAGCACUGUCUGUGAGUGGGAAAUUAUACCGCAUGAUGAGAGGCUGGAGAACCUCAGCCAGCCAAGAAGUGCAGCAAUUGCCUAGAAAUGAGGAUGUGAGCUUCUUACAAGCAUCAGGAUAGGAAUUUGUUUUGGGGGUGAGUGGUGUGCAAGGGGGCUGUGGCUUUCGGUAGCCAGGUGCUUAAGGGAAAUGCGUGACCCAAACAGAACAGCCACAUGAGGUGAGCUCUGAAGCCAUUUCAGAGAAACAGUUAUGCCCUUGUGCCAGGAAAUUGUGGGGGGGGGGGGGGGGAGCGGGGAAGGAAGCAUUUCUGAAUUGAAAAACAAGCUCCCUAAUAUCUAAUGCACGCAGAGGGAUCUGUUUGCUAGUGAUUUGUCUGCAGCUGAGGGGGCUAAGAAGAUCCUGUGAUCCCGCAGUGUGCGGUGGGGCUUUGCAGGGUGAUCAUCUUCCCCUCCGAGAGGAGAGGAGACCACAAGGAGCUGCGGUGAGACCGAGGACAGAAGGUGAAGUCUGUAGUCAGCGCAGUGGGUUCCAUGCUGAGCACUGCCUUGUGAUCCCGCUGCUUUUCCCGUCUGUAUCUGGUUCAUGCAAAGAGCCGAGGAAAGCAGUCUGGUUCAGUAUUCCAGGGAAAACCACUAGGCUUGUAAAAGCCAAGGAUGACAGAGUCGGGAAAGAGAGAGGAGCCGAGGACUCCGAAUUAGACCUUUGUUAAUGGUGAUUUCUCCACUGUGGUGAUAGCAGGGUGCAAGGAGACAGGUCUAUAUGGAAUGUCGGCUCCCACCUAGGUUUUAGUGCCCUUCUCAGCGUGAGCUGAAUUCCAGCUCGUUCAGUUCAGGGCCAGGGAAAAUCACCUGUUUGCUUGGUUUAGAAGCCAGCAUUCUCUAAUGAUCUGACAGGUUCAUAUCAUGAUUGUUUAGUGCAUCAGAGACACUGUCUGCUUAGUUCCCAAAUGUACAUGCCAAAUGCCCACCUGGAUCAAUCCACCUCCACCCCCGAGAGGAGCUUGUAAUAUUCACAACUCCUGGAUUUCCUUAUUUUUAACUGGUGUGUUUAUUGUGGGUCAGACUCUACUGAAAUGGAGCCCCAGUGAUGAUAUAAACACAACAAGCAUUUGGUUUAAAUCUAGAGCUGACCCAAACCAAACCCCCAGAGCCGAACACCUUUGCACCAGCUCUGCCUUUUACAUACGGCUCCUAUUCUGAUAUUGGCCCGAACCGGGACCCCUGGAUCCAGAUACCCCAAACUUGGGAACAUUCCAAACCCAGAGCGUGAUCUGGGUCUGACUUUCCCUCUCUUUACGCCCAGCUUUGGAGCAUUCAGAAUCAGGAUCCAGACUUAGCAGCCUCCACCCGUCUCUAGUUAAAACCAGACACAUUUGCUAAACCAGUUCGCAACUUCUCAGCAUGUGGGAACUAAAUCGCUUGACGCUGACACAUUUUAUGUCACGUAUCCCUCUCGCCCCCAAGGAGAUGCCCUGGAGCUGGGAUAAGGGCACGGUUAUCACAUGUCGAUGCCUUUCUCUCUCACGAGGUCUGAUCAGCCAAAGUUGCUCCAGCAGCACCCUCCUGGAGGGUGUUAGUUACUCACCACAGUAGCAUCUCUCGGUCACUUUGCAUAUCAAGUCAGCUGCUGCAGAGUUUGAUUGAAAUUUUUGCGGUGAGCGGUGAAAUUUCCCCCCUUCUGUGAAUCUGCCUGGCUCAUCUCCUCCCUUCACCACAGAGCAACAAGCUAAUAAAAGAUUGAUUGUAACUAUAAUUGCAAUCUGCCGAGGUCGGCAUUUCCUCCCCGGCUCCUCGCUGCACUGAGGGACGGAGGGAGCAUGAGGGGGGUCGUUAGCAAACACCCAGUUGAUUGGGCUGUUUUUAUUUCCCCCACUCCGUUUCUUUAUCUCUGUGAUUUAGCAUCCUGUCGCUGCGUGUUCCCACUGAGCUGAGGAGUGCUGGCCGGGCAACUUCCCGAGGGCGCUGCACGUGGAGAACUGCAGGGGAAGGUUUUCUCUUUUUUUGUCUCCAUCAUUUUAAACUUUAGGGGGUGGAGGUGAUUUUUAAUGGGUGUCACUAAGUUUCCAAGGAUAGCUCCAGACAUUCCCAUCAGAUCCAGCUUGCAAAAAGCACGGAGAACCCCAAAAGGAAUCCCGGUGACAUAAACGUACUCUGCAGUGAAGCCAAGGAGGUCCAUACAGGACACGUCACAUCAUGGGAGCGCUAGGACCUCAAGAUCGAAAGCAUCUACAGCAGCCAGGGAGAUCCCCAGUAAGACAUCAGAUGCAGGGAAUGGUCUGUGAGAACGUUGCUUCGGUGAGGUUCCCUGGAGUUAGGUCAGAGGAUAGUCUAAGCAUUUGGUUAUAGUGAACCUUAGGGCCGGAUUUGUCUCUUGGUCACUCCUAUGCAAGACAAUGGGGACUGAAUGGGAAUAUCUGAAGGCAAACUUUGGCCAUCAUUGUUGCUCGGGAGAUAGAGGCUGGAGAAGUAAAUAUUAUCAAGGUUAAUUCACCUUAUGGCCAGGAACCAGCCUCAGUUUCCCCACUAGACCUUCCUGAUGUGGGGAGAUACAGAGGGUCCAGGGCAAAGAAAAAUCUUGAACUGAGAGGUCCCAGGAAAGCACCACGAGGCCCUGUCUCCUUCCAAACUCCUCCCUCUUCUAGUAGCAUGGCAUAGUUACUAGCCUGGUAUCAUUAAAUGGAAGUCUGGGGCAGGUGGUGAUGAUGGUUUCGCAUCACGUAGCUGGUUCGGUUCUCAUUCCUCAGACGGGCAGCAGCCGGUGACACACGCAAUGGGAGGUUAGCGAAAUCUUUCACCCUUGCGCCUGCCUAAAGCCUAUGGACUGCUGUGUGUCAGUAAAAUACAGAUGCGCAUAAGUGCCGGCCGAGUGCUGCCUAACUUACCGCAUAUCCAGGGAGCAAACUGGGCUGCCCCGGCAUUGCCAGCAUGCCCCCCGUCGAAGCCCCUGGAUUGCGAGGUCUGCGUGUUUCUCAGCGAAAGGGAAGAAAUCCGAGGUAGCGUGUGAACUCUGAAAUCCAAUAGCCAGGCACUUUUUAUUUUCAAGGUCUUUUGGCAACAUAUUUCCCUGGGGGAGCCGAGCUCUCAGGUGCAGCAUCUUCAGGUUCACAGUGACGGGAGAAGGGCCUGUAAUGUAUUCUCUUGGGGACAGGCAGCCGCCAGAUGCAUCGCCCGCAGGUUUGCAGUGGUUGCAGAGGGGUCUGUAAUGUCUAUGUGUCUUGCCACUAAGGUUUCAACUGCUUUUUACCCCAUUUUCUUGCAGGGGCGACAGAGAUGCUAGGAGGCCGAGUGAAACUGAGGGCACGUAGUAAGUCAGUAGCUGGUUGAGGUUAGAUCCAGGGAAGUUUCUUGCCUUGAUGUAUAUUUUAUAGCCAAGCUGUUGUGUGUUCUCUACCGUAGAGAUUUCCUUGGCUCUCCUCGUGUUACAGGCCCCUGCCUGGACUCUGCUCUGUGGUGUUCUCCUUCCUUGACUUUAUCAGGUAGAGAUCAUGGCUGUCCUGGUCUGCCCAUGCCUGUCUGUGUUACAGCCACGCCACACGUUACCCGUGAGUCAGCGUCGCUGAGACGUGUGUCUAGAAAGGUUUGACCCUGCUGGUGCACCGUCGAGGCUGAGUGAACACCCAGGGCCCCUGGCUAUCUCAUCCAUUCAUUUGCUCUGCUCCAGGGUAGGAUGAUGUACAUUUAACGAUGCUCUUUAGGGACAAUGGGCUUGAUCCUGCCGGGUUCUGAGCAUCCUCGACUCCUGGUGAUGGCUUUCACAUGUGGUGCUCCCCACCUUCCGCACCAGACCCAUGUUCUGCUCUAGCUCCCUGCCCUCAUCCACGGCAGUGGGAAUUGUGGGCCUGUUAGAUUCCUUGGGGAUGAAUUCAGUUCAGGUGUUGGGGUGGGGACUGGCUUGGGAUGGAGUUGCUAUGCUGUAACCGUAUCGUUCUGAUUUGGUGCUUGAUGUUAACGUCACUGUAUUUACUGCCGGGGCAGGACUGAGAUUCCUGGAGGGGGGAAGUGAAAUAUGCAGAGGCUUGGAAAACUGUAGUAGCCCAGAGAGCUUCUGACUUUUCCAAGUACCAGCUGCCACUCUGAAACUUCCAGGAAGAAGCGUCUCUUUAAGGGGGCUGAGGCUGGUUGUUUAUAGGGUGUGAGUUACAUCGCAGGAUUUGUUCCAGGAGGGACUGACAGAUAGUGUGUCGCUCAACUGCCCAGCGUAUCAGCUCUCGGGUUAUGUACAUUCACUGGCACAAAGUACAACCAAAGCUGCCAUGUAACUAAUUUCCAAACCUGAACGUUUUGGCACAUAUCGCUGCUAGCUUUGUGGGCUCGCUCUGUGCUCUGUAGCGGCAGGGAAGGGAGCAUGGUCCAGUGGUUAGGGCAGGUGACUGGGAGUCCAGAGACCUGGGUUCUAUUCCCACUUCCAACUUGGGCACGUGACCCCUCAGUUGCCUCAUUGUGGUGUUACACACCUUUGUGAAUUGCUAAGGAGCGCCAAGGUUGGGGGGAGGGCUGGUCCGGAAGAUCUUUAGCAAACAGGGGAGAGCUGGCGGAUUUCAGAGGGGCGAAGGCACCUUAAAAAGGCUAAAUUACAGCCAAACUUACUUUGAGGCUGCCCGCUCUCCCCUUCCACCCAGUCUGGUUGUGGGGAGGGGGAGGGCUGCUCCCCGGGGCGUGGGUAAACGAAUGGGAGCGAACCUCAGAUGUAAGCUCUGAAGGCCGCAGUCAACUCCCUGCCACAGCUCCUCGGCACAGCUCAACGUGUUGACGCCAGCUGGGGAUCCAGUGUUAAUUUUGCUCUUAGUGUGUUUUAAGCAGCCCAGCCUUAUCGUACUGCCUUGUUUCAAGGGAGUGGAGGAAGUUAGGCCAGGCCCCUACUAGAGAAGCAAUUACGUCUAACUGAACUAGCAGGCAUGGGAACGUAGUGCCACUCAGUGGGAAGGGUUUGCCCUCGAUGUCAAUAUGCUGUCCUACCCGCUUGCAAAAUCAAGAGGACAGGACCCACAGCACUGACUUGGGCAGCAUAGGGUUUAAGGCAGUAGGAACAGGCUUCUGAAGCCUGAGAAUCGGUGUCCAUCCCCACUGGGGUGACGUUCCUUGGAAGAGCCAUGAAACGGAGUCUGUUCAAAACUACCUUUCACUUUGUGGUCUCUAUGCUUCGUUUGCUGUGAAACUCUUAGCUGUGUUUUAAAGGAAGCUAUUUUGAAUAAAGAAUUCCGUAGUCACUGUUGAUACUAAAUGGCUUUUGUUAAUUGAUGCUUUUUGAUAUUUAAAUAAAAGUGAAUGAAUAGUUUGUGCAACAAA